URCCUUUUGCAUCAUGCUUAGAUGAUUUUAUGAUUAAUUAGUCUUUAACCGAAAGCUCUGGAUUUCAUUUAUAACUGCUUGGAGUACAAAGUCAAGUAGACUUCUUAAGAUUGUAAAUGCGUUGUGAAAAAUUAAACGUCAGGGUUGAUAACUGUUUAACAACUUAUAAAAUUUAAAUUAUCUUUGAGGUUAUGAGAUCCCACAGACGUAUAUAUUUAAAGUCUAUUGUUUUUAUAGUAAUAGGGUUAAAAGUACCCAUUUAUUGUAACAUUGUUCAAAAGUUGUAAGAUUUGAAAUUAAAUUAUAUGUAAAGGUUGUUUAACUAAACAAAUUGUAAUUAAGAAUAUCUGAAUAAGUAAUAAUAAAAGAAUAACUAUUUCUCAAGCAUUGCCCGUCUGUUUAUUAAAAACAUUUCCAUAUAAAAGAUUUUAUGGUAGUACCUGCUCUAUGCGCGAUAUGUAAAUGGCCGCAGUAUUUUGACUGUGCAAAGGUAGCAUAAUUAAUUGCCUUAUAAUUGAAGGCUUGUUUGAAUGGUUUGACGAGGUGAUUGCAAAUAUUUAUUUUUUAGGUGAAAUUAGUUUGGAGGGCACAGAAUCCUCCAUAAAUUAAUUAGACGGAAAGACCCCAGGAUCUUUUAUUUUUGUCUGGGGCAGAUGAGAAUUUUUCAUUCACAUUUUGACCCUUGUUGGUCCAUUGGUUAAAGUUACCCUGGGGAUAACAGUGUAAUAGUCUAUAAGAGACCUUAUCGAGUAGACUGUUUGCUACCUCGAUGUUGACUUAGGUAAAUAAACUGGGCGCAGUAGUCUAGUGUUUGGGUCUGUUCGACCACAUAUACCUCCAUGAGUUGAGUUAAGACCGGCGUAAGCCAGGUCGGUUCUUAUCUAUU
RNAcentral lists this ribosomal RNA (886 nucleotides) under Crepidobothrium gerrardii. RNAcentral describes it as "partial 16S ribosomal RNA". The stretch from base 608 to 886 matches the Rfam family "Bacterial large subunit ribosomal RNA", at positions 2074 to 2646 of the family's 2925-position model. The record is from RNAcentral. Lineage: Eukaryota; Metazoa; Platyhelminthes; Cestoda; Proteocephalidea; Proteocephalidae.